ACGAAAAUCGUUCGAGCCGUUCUGAUGACUUUGGAGAUGGCAAGGCUAGUGGUGACCAAGGUUUUGGGAGGAAAUUUUUCUAGUUCUUUCUGUAAGGCAAGUUCCUUGUUCUCCAUUGAUGAAUUUGAUACUGGCAUCCAUAUGGUGAUCGAUAAUUCUCCACUUGUUCCUACUUGUAUAAAAAAUUGUUAAGCAAGACUUACUCCUUUACCAACAAUAGUAUUAUAAUUUGUUCUCCAUUGAUGAAUUUGAUACUGUCAUCCAUAUGGUGAUCGAUAAUUCUCCACUUGUUCCUACUUGUAUAAAAAAUUGUUAAGCAGGACUUACUCCUUUACCAACAAUAAUAAUAUAAUAAUCAUAACAACAAUAACAACUGCACACAGAAGUUGGAAAAGUGGAAAUAGAAGCGUGAUUCUGAUAUAUGAAGCACGUGAUGCUGGUCUUUAUAGGUGGGCAUGCAUGACUUUUAAAUCAUUUGCCCCUUCUAAGAAUGGUUGUUUGUAUUUGAAACAGUUCCAGCUAUAAAAGUUUUGGCUAUGGUGUUCCAUGCUAUCUCCUACUCAAGAAAAUAAGGGGGGAGGGGUUAGCCAAACAUAGUAUAAUUUCUUUUGUCCGUGUUUGAAAGAAAUGCUGCAUUUUGUCCUAUUAUGUCCACCAUAGAAGGCUUCUCAGGAUUUGCCGUUAGGACUAUGUUUUGAUGUAAUGGCACUGGUUUGUUUAACAGGCGUGGACUCUGUGAAUAUGGCUAUUUGGGAAUGACCAUAAAGAGACGAAUGCGCGACUGAUGUCCAAGUUGUGAAGCAUCUUUGUUGAUUGCCAGGCUCCGUGUUUAGAGUUGCUGUAGCUUCAGAUUUUAUAACUCAAUUGCUAUACUUAGAAUUCCAUAAGAAUAACCAUUUUAUAUCCACUUGGUAACACCUAUAUGUAAUCUAUAGCUAUCGAGAAAGUCGUUCUCCUACCUGCUAUUAUAUUAUUUAAUGGUCGUAACUUUUCUUCUCAAGCUUUAUAUGAAGUUGUGUUAUCCGAGCUGUUGAUUGAUUAUCCUGCAGUGUGUAACAGUUUAGAUGUUCUACUCUCAAUUUCUAAAAACUAUGUAUCAGUAUUUCCUUUCCGGUUAUUAUACCAAAUGUAAAAAAUAUGCUUUGAUUUCUCAUUCCAGUAGGAGAUAAAGGUGCGUCAAGAAAACUUUGUUGGUGUUAUGAUAAAUUGUAAUUAUGGUGGAUGUCUACUUUUCUUUCAUGAUCUUCAUUUCAAAUGGUUUAUGACAUAUUCAAUGACAUAUUCCAUGACAUAUUUUCUUCAUUUUUUGUGCCUAUAUAAAGGCCUUGUAAUAGAUAGGAAAUCACACACAAUUGAAGAAGAAAAUCUCUUCCUUCUCU
This 1379-nucleotide long non-coding RNA is filed under the name Nicotiana benthamiana. Its description in RNAcentral is "long non-coding RNA (NBEN_LNC024987)". The record is from RNAcentral. Lineage: Eukaryota; Viridiplantae; Streptophyta; Magnoliopsida; Solanales; Solanaceae.